RNAcentral lists this ribosomal RNA (425 nucleotides) under uncultured bacterium. Its description in RNAcentral is "partial 16S ribosomal RNA". It matches the Rfam family "Bacterial small subunit ribosomal RNA", at positions 354 to 796 of the family's 1533-position model. The record is from RNAcentral.
GUUAGGAAUAUUGGACAAUGGGCGAAAGCCUGAUCCAGCCAUGCCGCGUGAACGAUGAAGGCCUUCGGGUUGUAAAGUUCUUUAGCCGAUGAUUAUAAUGACUGUAGUCGGAAAAUAAGCCCCGGCUAACUUCGUGCCAGCAGCCGCGGUAAUACGAAGGGGGCGAGCGUUAUUCGGAAUCACUGGGCGUAAAGCGUGCGUAGGCGGUUUUGUAAGUUAGGAGUGAAAGCCCAGGGCUCAACCUUGGAAUUGCUCUUAAAACUGCAAGGCUCGAAUCUCGGAGAGGAUAGCGGAAUUUCCAGUGUAGCAGUGAAAUGCGUAGAUAUUGGAAGGAACACCAGUGGCGUAAGCGGCUAUCUGGACGAGUAUUGACGCUGAGGCACGAAAGCGUGGGGAUCAACCAGGAUUAGAAACCCGUGUAGUCC